Molecule: ribosomal RNA, 254 nt
Filed under: uncultured bacterium
Lineage: Bacteria
Description: partial 16S ribosomal RNA
Rfam family: Bacterial small subunit ribosomal RNA
Source: RNAcentral
UACGGGGGGAGCAAGCGUUGUUCGGAUUUACUGGGCGUAAAGGGCGCGUAGGCGGUCGUGACAAGUCACUUGUGAAAUCUCCGGGCUUAACUCGGAACGGUCAAGUGAUACUGUCGGACUAGAGUACAGAAGGGGCAACUGGAAUUCUCGGUGUAGCGGUGAAAUGCGUAGAUAUCGAGAGGAACACCUGCGGCGAAGGCGGGUUGCUGGGCUGAUACUGACGCUGAGGCGCGGAAAGCCAGGGAGCGAACGGG